Phragmites australis (common reed) is the source of this 1053-nucleotide long non-coding RNA. RefSeq lists it as uncharacterized. The record is from RefSeq and is a predicted model, not a curated record. The transcript has 2 exons. NCBI's taxonomy places the organism in Eukaryota, Viridiplantae, Streptophyta, Magnoliopsida, Poales, Poaceae.
UCUUUCUUCUCAAACAUUUGGAAGGUUGUGCAUCUCCAUUAAUUCUAUGUUGGCAAUUCAUUAACCUCUUCACUAAUUUUAUGUUUGGAAGGUUUUACAGGAAGAACAGAUCAUUUGGUAGGAUAAGGAAUUGAAGGAUGUCCUAUUUGGAACUUAAAUGUGUUUGCCUGCUUAGGACAACUUCCUCGCAGAUUGUACUUGGCUGCUAGCAUGCACUCCUCCCUUUCCUUCCUACGGGGCCCACUCAACACAAUUGACCACGCAAAAACCAUAUCCCCCUUUUCCACGCUCUGGAGCUGAUCCAUGGCAUUCAUUGACGCCUGCAGAAGCGUCAUCUCUUUCAUGCCUUUUGCAUAAGUUGGCAUGGGUACAACUCCUCGCCACCAUCCUUGGAGAUAUCUGAACAAGAUUAUUGAUCACAAAGGUAAUUUGUAGCAUCACCUUCCUAUUAUUAUGAACCAUAAAAGAGAAAAUCAUCACUGAUGGUUCUAGGCUUCUAGCUGAGCACUGAGCACUCAACUAGAAACUCCAAUUAAUAAUUGAAUAAUGGAUGCUUGAACCCACCAUCACCUCUGCCCCCACCCACGCCUCUUCCCCUCUGCAGGUAUGGAAUAUUACAAUUGAGUCACAGUAAUAGAUAUCAUGAUUCAUACUCUUUCAGAAUCAAAUGUAUAGGACGAAUUGGUUCUCACAAGUACUAAACACAUUGUUAUCGUGGUGGGCUUUUGGGCAACUAGAAUACAAUCAAAUUCAUUUAUAUCUUGUUCAACAAACACCAUAUUGCAUUUGGAGUGUCAUAGAACCUAGUUUUUCUUUGUACCAAACUUGACACUUGUAUCUGUUUGUUUUUUGGUUUGAGAGCCCAGCUUCAUGGUACAUUUCACCUUUAAUGUUUUGCCCUAUAUUCAGUUGUUGAAAUUUUUUUUUUUUGUAUGUGCUUAUGCAUGUGCUGAUAUCUUGUUCAUAUGCUUAUGUUGAACUCCUGCAACAAGAGAGUUUGCAUUCCCUGUAAUCCUUCAAUUGAAAGUCUUAUUUAUGUUGAUGGUUUAUCCA